RNAcentral lists this unclassified non-coding RNA (503 nucleotides) under Hevea brasiliensis (rubber tree). The record is from RNAcentral. Lineage: Eukaryota; Viridiplantae; Streptophyta; Magnoliopsida; Malpighiales; Euphorbiaceae.
GCCCAUACAGUUCUGAAUUUUAGGUAUUAUCUUUGAAUUUUCUUCAUUGUUCAUCAUUACAUGAUAUCAUGCAUUAAAUUUUGAGACAUAAAAUGCGUCUGUCUCUAUCUCACACUAUCCCCUUUGUUCCACUUUCUCCCACUAUCUUUUGUUUUUCUUUGAAAAUAUACAUUACUGAUGUGUUAGGGUUUUUGGGUUUCUCCCGGCUUAGAACCUAGUGUUGGCACUGGAAAUUGCUUGCAUAACUUGUUUUAUUGAGAUUUACUUUAUUGGACCCAACAGAUCAUUGUUUUUCUUCAGGAACCAGAUACAGAGUAUUUGCUUAAUCUGUGCGAAUAUGAUAGGAAUCUUCAUUUCUUUGCACUUUUUGUAUCCUGGAAAAAUUUUUUGAAUGGUGACAGAAGGAUAUUAAUUCUGCACAGAAUUGAAGCAAACCCAUUUGGAUAAUUACAUUUUGACGCAGGCAAAUUUUGGUCUUUUGUGUGGUUGAAGUAUGAAAAUUU